This is a long non-coding RNA of Pipistrellus kuhlii (Kuhl's pipistrelle), 169 nucleotides long. RefSeq lists it as uncharacterized. The record is from RefSeq and is a predicted model, not a curated record. Lineage: Eukaryota; Metazoa; Chordata; Mammalia; Chiroptera; Vespertilionidae. The transcript is spliced from 3 exons.
GUGUGCUCUACCGAUAAGCUAGAGCCUGGUUGUAGGCCACGACUAUAAAGCGUAUAGACUGUCUUCAGAUAACUUCUACAGUGGGAACUGCUUCUGAGACUGGAGGAAAAAAACCAAGAAUCAAAAGUCGUAACUCUGAGUUACAGUAACGGGAAAGACCAUGCUCCCA